GGCACGGGCGCCUGUCCCCGCGGGAGGCUCCUCGGCGCGGCCGGCGCUCAGGAGCUUGCCUAUCCCCUUUGCUGCCUUUGCCUCGGUGCAGCCGGGAGGGGUGGAAAGUGUCUGGGCCUCCAACUGAGUUACAGAUUGCAGCAGCAGCAGGAAACGCGAAGACCUCGCCAAGGGCUGAGCUGUGGCUCACGCGGGCUCAGGAAGGGAAGUUGGAAGGAACACUGGGGAAGCAAAUUUUCUGUGACAGCUCUGGCGCCCAUGCCCGGAGUUGCUCAGUAUCCUUUGGCUUUAGUUGUUUUAGUUAGGAGGAGAGUGUGUAAAACCUGGCAGCAGGAUUAGCGAGGUAAACCACAUGUCAGCCUAG
Molecule: long non-coding RNA, 364 nt
Filed under: Sus scrofa (pig)
Lineage: Eukaryota; Metazoa; Chordata; Mammalia; Artiodactyla; Suidae
Description: lncRNA (ENSSSCG00025032965.1, ENSSSCG00035032699.1)
Source: RNAcentral